CCCUUAGAUGUUCUGGGCCGCACGCGCGCUACACUGAUGCAUUCAACGAGCCUAUCCUUGACCGACAGGUCCGGGUAAUCUUUGAAUCUGCAUCGUGACGGGGAUAGAUUAUUGCAAUUAUUAAUCUUCAACGAGGAAUGCCUAGUAGGCGCAAGUCAUCAGCUUGCGUCGAUUACGUCCCUGCCCUUUGUACACACCGCCCGUCGCUCCUACCGAUUGGGUGUGCUGGUGAAAUGUUCGGAUCGGCCGUUUGUCGCGGUUUCCGCGGCUCGGGGCUGAGAAGUUCAUUAAACCCUCCCACCUAGAGGAAGGAGAAGUCGUAACA
Molecule: ribosomal RNA, 325 nt
Filed under: uncultured eukaryote
Lineage: Eukaryota
Description: partial 18S ribosomal RNA
Rfam family: Eukaryotic small subunit ribosomal RNA
Source: RNAcentral